This is a long non-coding RNA of Ictalurus punctatus (channel catfish), 682 nucleotides long. The record is from Ensembl. Lineage: Eukaryota; Metazoa; Chordata; Actinopteri; Siluriformes; Ictaluridae.
CUGUAGCAAGAAGCUUCCUCUUGGCUUAGGGCUUUGAUCCGGUGUAGUACAAACAGUGCAAAAACCUGAAAGAGAAAUGAUACUGACUCGAACGGACGGGGGAAAGAGGAAGACGGGUGAUGAGGUGAAAGCGUGCGAGAUAUAUAAAUAAAGGCGGGCAGGAAUUUCACGUGAAGAGCCAUAGAAGAACGCAGACGGGCUUUUCAGUACAGCGACUGCGACACCGGCACGUAUACCGUACGCCGUCGACUCCACGCGUCUCUCUCUUCAGGGACCGGGACGCGAAGUUUAACUCCUUUCAGCGUCGGUAGGCAGGACGUCUCGGCCCGUCGAGACGCUGAGAUGGAAAAACCGCUCGACAUGAGUAAAAUCUUUUGAACGACACAUCAGACUUCAGUACGAACCACAACACAGCAGUCAGUAAAAAAAAAAAACACACGACGAAGAAAAACCCAGAGGAAAAAUCCCAUUAAGUAUCCAUAUUUGGACAUAUUGUUUGUUUAUUUAUUUAUUUAUUUAUUUUUAUGGUACACCAUUGGCACAGAUUCUGCUCUUAUAAAACCACGCUGUAUAGUUUCCCUAGUUCUUCAGUGCUACUGCAGGAUAAGUGUGUGUUUACAUGAGAGAGAGAGACAUGAGAGAGAGAGAGACAUGAGAGAGAGAGAGACAUGAGAGAGAGAGA